UAGGGAAUAUUGGACAAUGGGCGAAAGCCUGAUCCAGCAACGCCGCGUGUGCGAUGACGGCCUUCGGGUUGUAAAGCACUUUUAGAGGAGAUGAGAAAGGACAGUAUCCUCUGAAUAAGCCUCGGCGAACUACGUGCCAGCAGCCGCGGUAAAACGUAGGAGGCUAGCGUUAUCCGGAUUUAUUGGGCGUAAAGCGCGUGCAGGCGGUUUAUCAAGUUGGAUGUGAAAGCUCCUGGCAUAACUGGGAGAGGUCGUUCAA
This 259-nucleotide ribosomal RNA is filed under the name uncultured bacterium. Its description in RNAcentral is "partial 16S ribosomal RNA". It matches the Rfam family "Bacterial small subunit ribosomal RNA", at positions 355 to 630 of the family's 1533-position model. The record is from RNAcentral.